RNAcentral lists this ribosomal RNA (506 nucleotides) under uncultured bacterium. RNAcentral describes it as "partial 16S ribosomal RNA". It matches the Rfam family "Bacterial small subunit ribosomal RNA", at positions 29 to 523 of the family's 1533-position model. The record is from RNAcentral.
AUUGAACGCUGGCGGCAGGCCUAACACAUGCAAGUCGGACGGUAGCACAGGGGAGCUUGCUCCUCGGGUGACGAGUGGCGGACGGGUGAGUAAUGUCUGGGGAUCUGCCCGAUAGAGGGGGAUUACCACUGGAAACGGUGGCUAAUACCGCAUAAUGUCGCAAGACCAAAGAGGGGGACCUUCGGGCCUCUCACUAUCGGAUGAACCCAGAUGGGAUUAGCUAGUAGGCGGGGUAACGGCCCACCUAGGCGACGGUCCCUAGCUGGUCUGAGAGGAUGACCAGCCACACUGGAACUGAGACACGGUCCAGACUCCUACGGGAGGCAGCAGUGGGGAAUAUUGCACAAUGGGCGCAAGCCUGAUGCAGCCAUGCCGCGUGUAUGAAGAAGGCCUUCGGGUUGUAAAGUACUUUCAGCGGGGAGGAAGGCGAUGUGGUUAAUAACCGCGUCGAUUGACGUUACCCGCAGAAGAAGCACCGGCUAACUCCGUGCCAGCAGCCGCCGUAA